AUGACCCUCCUACUUGAAAUAUAUAUAAAAAAAAAACAAAUAGAGUACAAGUUAUUAUUAUUAGUAAUGAAAAAAGACCCAGAAAAGGAGAAUGAAUCAUCUCUUCUAUCAAAUCAUUCACCCCCAACAUCUAAAUUACCCACCCUGCCAAACAUCUUGAGUGCUAUACAAGCCAACAUCAUUCUUCUUUUUUCUAUUCCAUUGCAUACUAAAUUAUUAAAACAACCAAUAAAUAAAUAA
Molecule: non-coding RNA, 240 nt
Organism: Vicia faba (fava bean)
Lineage: Eukaryota; Viridiplantae; Streptophyta; Magnoliopsida; Fabales; Fabaceae
Source: the annotation of a GenBank genome assembly